This 73-nucleotide transfer RNA is filed under the name Rhodothermus marinus. RNAcentral describes it as "tRNA-Lys". It matches the Rfam family "tRNA". Rfam says of the family: Transfer RNA (tRNA) molecules are approximately 80 nucleotides in length. Their secondary structure includes four short double-helical elements and three loops (D, anti-codon, and T loops). RNAcentral also lists the same sequence under 2 other names. The record is from RNAcentral. Lineage: Bacteria; Pseudomonadati; Rhodothermota; Rhodothermia; Rhodothermales; Rhodothermaceae.
GACCCCGUAGCUCAGGUGGUAGAGCAUCUGACUUUUAAUCAGAGGGUCGCAGGUUCGAGUCCUGCCGGGGUCA